Ixodes scapularis (black-legged tick) is the source of this 73-nucleotide non-coding RNA. Lineage: Eukaryota; Metazoa; Arthropoda; Arachnida; Ixodida; Ixodidae. The record is from Rfam.
GCAGUCGUGGCCGAGUGGUUAAGGGGAUGGGCUAGAAAUCCACACCGCACAGGUUCGAAUCCUGUCGACUGCG